UACGUAGGGGGCUAGCGUUGUCCGGAAUCAUUGGGCGUAAAGAGCGCGUAGGCGGCUGGAAUAGUCCGGUGUGAAAUCCACAGGCUUAACCUGUGAAUGCCGCUGGAAACUGUCUGGCUAGAGUCCGGAAGGGGCGAGUGGAAUUCCUGGUGUAGCGGUGAAAUGCGUAGAUAUCAAGAGGAACACCUGAGGUGAAGACGGGUUGCUGGGCCGACACUGACGCUGGAGCGCGAAAGCCAGGGGAGCAAACGGG
RNAcentral lists this ribosomal RNA (253 nucleotides) under uncultured bacterium. RNAcentral's name for it is "partial 16S ribosomal RNA". It matches the Rfam family "Bacterial small subunit ribosomal RNA", at positions 524 to 776 of the family's 1533-position model. The record is from RNAcentral.